This 468-nucleotide ribosomal RNA is filed under the name uncultured bacterium. Its description in RNAcentral is "partial 16S ribosomal RNA". It matches the Rfam family "Bacterial small subunit ribosomal RNA", at positions 28 to 507 of the family's 1533-position model. The record is from RNAcentral.
GACGAACGCUGGCGGCGUGCUUAACACAUGCAAGUCGAACGGAAAGGCCCUGCUUUUGUGGGGUGCUCGAGUGGCGAACGGGUGAGUAACACGUGAGUAACCUGCCCUUGACUUUGGGAUAACUUCAGGAAACUGGGGCUAAUACCGGAUAGGAGCUCCUGCUGCAUGGUGGGGGUUGGAAAGUUUCGGCGGUUGGGGAUGGACUCGCGGCUUAUCAGCUUGUUGGUGGGGUAGUGGCUUACCAAGGCUUUGACGGGUAGCCGGCCUGAGAGGGGGACCGGGCACAUUGGGACUGAGAGACGGCGCAGACUCGUACGGGGGGCAACAGUGGGGAAUAUUGCACAAUGGGCGGAAGCCUGAGGCAGCGACGCUGCGUGCGGGAUGACGGCCUUCGGGUUGUAAACCGCUUUCGGCUGUGACGAAGCGUGAGUGACGGUAAUGGGUAAAGAAGCACCGGCUAACUACGUG